This 32-nucleotide non-coding RNA is filed under the name Geobacter sulfurreducens KN400. Lineage: Bacteria; Pseudomonadati; Thermodesulfobacteriota; Desulfuromonadia; Geobacterales; Geobacteraceae. The record is from RNAcentral.
CUCCAGCCGCAGGCGAUGCUCGGCCUUGCCCA